Molecule: long non-coding RNA, 418 nt
Filed under: Nicotiana benthamiana
Lineage: Eukaryota; Viridiplantae; Streptophyta; Magnoliopsida; Solanales; Solanaceae
Description: long non-coding RNA (NBEN_LNC022740)
Source: RNAcentral
AAAAACUUUUAAGUACUCAAGUAGAGCACAUGCAUAUAACAGAUUUAAGAAAACAAAUAGAGAAACCCUCAAAUAGCUAGGGUUUUAGAGGAACCCUAGAAUGACAAAGGCUUGGAAAAGGUCUGAUCUAAGUCAGCUAAGUUAGAACCAGGCUCGAAAUGCUUUGGAUACACCGGAGCUAGGCUGAAGAAGCCGAAGAACCUUGAAUCGGAGAAGAUCUGAUCGAACACCAUCGAGGUCAGAUCUCGAAACUUCGAACACCAGGCAUUUAAUAGUGGAGGGAGGUGAAUAUAGGCCAUCCAUGGCCUGAGAGGCCAUGGAUUCCGGUGAGAUUGAGGUUGAAGAUAGUGAGAGAGGCUAGGGCUUCAAGAACCUUCGAGAGAGUUUGAGAGAGGAAAGAUAUUCAGGAGAGGCUGAU